Molecule: ribosomal RNA, 492 nt
Filed under: uncultured bacterium
Lineage: Bacteria
Description: partial 16S ribosomal RNA
Rfam family: Bacterial small subunit ribosomal RNA
Source: RNAcentral
AGUGAACGCUGGCGGUAGGCCUAACACAUGCAAGUCGAACGGCAGCACAGUAAGAGCUUGCUCUUACGGGUGGCGAGUGGCGGACGGGUGAGGAAUACAUCGCAAUCUACUUUUUCGUGGGGGAUAACGUAGGGAAACUUACGCUAAUACCGCAUACGACCUACGGGUGAAAGCAGGGGAUCUUCGGACCUUGCGCGAUUGAAUGAGCCGAUGUCGGAUUAGCUAGUUGGCGGGGUAAAGGCCCACCAAGGCGACGAUCCGUAGCUGGUCUGAGAGGAUGAUCAGCCACACUGGAACUGAGACACGGUCCAGACUCCUACGGGAGGCAGCAGUGGGGAAUAUUCGACAAUGGGCGCAAGCCUGAUCCAGCCAUACCGCGUGGGUGAAGAAGGCCUUCGGGUUGUAAAGCCCUUUUGUUGGGAAAGAAAAGCAGCAGGUUAAUACCCCGCUGUUCUGACGGUACCCAAAGAAUAAGCACCGGCUAACUUCGUG